GUCCGGUGCGGUUGGCGCCGUGGGCCGCCGGGGCCAGCCCGACGACCAGCACCCGGGCGUCCUCGGGUCCGAAGCCCGGCACCGGGCG
RNAcentral lists this transfer RNA (88 nucleotides) under Nakamurella endophytica. RNAcentral describes it as "tRNA-Pro". Lineage: Bacteria; Bacillati; Actinomycetota; Actinomycetes; Nakamurellales; Nakamurellaceae. The record is from RNAcentral.